UACGGAGGGGGCUAGCGUUGUUCGGAAUUACUGGGCGUAAAGCGCGCGUAGGCGGACCUGCAAGUCGGGGGUGAAAGCCCGAGGCUCAACCUCGGAACUGCCUUCGAUACUGCGGGUCUCGAGUCCGGGAGAGGUGAGUGGAAUUCCUAGUGUAGAGGUGAAACUCGUAGAUAUUAGGAAGAACACCAGUGGCGAAGGCGGCUCACUGGCCCGGCACUGACGCUGAGGAGCGAAAGCGUGGGGAGCGAACAGG
RNAcentral lists this ribosomal RNA (253 nucleotides) under uncultured bacterium. RNAcentral describes it as "partial 16S ribosomal RNA". It matches the Rfam family "Bacterial small subunit ribosomal RNA", at positions 524 to 776 of the family's 1533-position model. The record is from RNAcentral.